This 751-nucleotide ribosomal RNA is filed under the name Brachybacterium paraconglomeratum. Its description in RNAcentral is "bacterial SSU rRNA". It matches the Rfam family "Bacterial small subunit ribosomal RNA", at positions 66 to 828 of the family's 1533-position model. Lineage: Bacteria; Bacillati; Actinomycetota; Actinomycetes; Micrococcales; Dermabacteraceae. The record is from RNAcentral.
ACGAUGACGGUGGUGCUUGCACCACCUGAUUAGUGGCGAACGGGUGAGUAACACGUGAGUAACCUGCCCCCCACUUCGGGAUAACCUCGGGAAAUCGUGGCUAAUACCGGAUACGAGCACUCAUCGCAUGGUGGGUGCUGGAAAGAUUUAUCGGUGGGGGAUGGACUCGCGGCCUAUCAGUUUGUUGGUGAGGUGAUGGCUCACCAAGACGAUGACGGGUAGCCGGCCUGAGAGGGCGACCGGCCACACUGGGACUGAGACACGGCCCAGACUCCUACGGGAGGCAGCAGUGGGGAAUAUUGCACAAUGGGCGAAAGCCUGAUGCAGCGACGCCGCGUGGGGGAUGACGGCCUUCGGGUUGUAAACCCCUUUCAGUAGGGAAGAAGCGAGAGUGACGGUACCUGCAGAAGAAGCGCCGGCUAACUACGUGCCAGCAGCCGCGGUAAUACGUAGGGCGCAAGCGUUGUCCGGAAUUAUUGGGCGUAAAGAGCUUGUAGGUGGCUUGUCGCGUCUGCCGUGAAAACCCGAGGCUCAACCUCGGGCGUGCGGUGGGUACGGGCAGGCUAGAGUGUGGUAGGGGAGACUGGAACUCCUGGUGUAGCGGUGAAAUGCGCAGAUAUCAGGAAGAACACCGAUGGCGAAGGCAGGUCUCUGGGCCAUUACUGACACUGAGAAGCGAAAGCAUGGGUAGCGAACAGGAUUAGAUACCCUGGUAGUCCAUGCCGUAAACGUUGGGCACUAGGUGUGGGGG